GUCACGUGGUAUAACAAAAUCAAAAUUGUUCGUUUAUCAUGAAAUUACAAUCCUUUCGUCAAUAUGAUCCGAUCAACUACGAGAUAUGGAAGUGUGUCAAUCUCGAUUAUCGAUCAUAUCUUUCAUUCUACUAUUAAGUCAAUAUGAGUCGAAAACUCCUUUUCGACUUAUAUGUAUACCUUGGUCAAAGAUUUCGUUAUUGACUUAAUUGAACGAAAUGCAGAUCACAAUCUCUUACUAUCUAAGAGUGACGAAUCCUCUAUUGGUCAUUCACAAUCUUAAUAUGGUUCUUGAUAUACCCGAACGAUGUCGUAUUAGCAGCCUUGGCAGAGUAACAUCCAACACCGUCAAAGCAUGACUGUCCUCAUAUAAGGCACUAUGAUGACCUCAAGUUAUAGGACCAAUUCCACUACCGAACGUUAGAGAUUAACCACUGACACUCAAAUAGUAAUCCAUGUGGAAUCUCUUAGCGGGUCUCCAAUGUUUUGUUCUAUAACAAAACAUCCACAUGUUCAUUUAAGUGUCACCACACUUUAACUCGUGAGAUCAGCUACUUACUUCACAAGUAAGAAAUGCCACACGUGAUGGUCUAACUGUAUUAACAAUAUCCGUAUCUCGUUAUUACUUACGACCACGGUUUAUUCAAGAUCCAAUCAUACGUAAUUUGUAUCUCACAAUCACAACUCCUUGUAAUUAACAAAUCACUUAAACUUGGAUCUUCAGAUUCUAUUAUUAAAUAUUA
This 742-nucleotide long non-coding RNA is filed under the name Olea europaea subsp. europaea. Lineage: Eukaryota; Viridiplantae; Streptophyta; Magnoliopsida; Lamiales; Oleaceae. The record is from RNAcentral.